GGGGCGCCUGUGGGAGUCGUGGAGGGAACUUUCCCAGGCCCCGAGGCGGAUCGGGUAUUGAGUCCAUGGAGCGAGCUGAGAGCUAGAGAUCUAAAGCUUAAGGACUAUGGAGUGGAUCUCAUUGAAGUUUCAGACAAUGGAUGUGGGGUAGAAGAAGAAAACUUUGAAGGCUUAACGAUGUCACCAUUUCUACCUGCCACGCAUCGGCGAAGGUUGGGACUCGACUGGUGUUUGAUCACGAUGGGAAAAUCAUCCAGAAAACCCCCUACCCCCACCCCAGAGGGACCACAGUCAGCGUGAAGCAGUUAUUUUCUACACUACCUGUGCACCAUAAGGAAUUUCAAAGGAAUAUUAAGAAGGAUGGCCGUAUAAGAAAAUAAACAACUUGCUAAAACUGCUGAAACUCCCUCUGCUUGUGAGAUUUAAAAAAACUGGCUGAAAUUGGUUGGAACCAACAUGUCCAAUGGAGUCUGAAUAGAAAGAGCUUGCUGACAUCACAGCCCGAAUUUCCACCACAUUUCAUACUAACUCCCCCUGAAUUUGCAUAUGCAAACCACAAGCAAGCAUGAUCAAACAGACAACUGCGCGUGUCCGAGGACUUUCCAGAUCUCCCCUUUCCUUCCACCAAUCACUUACUAAUCUGAGAAUCCAUCCCCUAAUAAAAUCACUGCCUUAAAGCCUGCACAGGAAGACAAA
This is a long non-coding RNA of Homo sapiens (human), 696 nucleotides long. Ensembl annotates it as PMS1 homolog 2, mismatch repair system component pseudogene 4. Its record names the gene PMS2P4. Lineage: Eukaryota; Metazoa; Chordata; Mammalia; Primates; Hominidae. The record is from Ensembl.